AUUGAACGCUGGCGGCAUGCCUUACACAUGCAAGUCGAACGGCAGCACGGGGCAACCUGGUGGCGAGUGGCGAACGGGUGAGUAAUGCAUCGGAACGUGCCAUUGAGUGGGGGAUAACGUAGCGAAAGUUGCGCUAAUACCGCAUAUUCUGUGAGCAGGAAAGCAGGGGACCGCAAGGCCUUGCGCUCUUUGAGCGGCCGAUGUCAGAUUAGCUAGUUGGUGAGGUAACGGCUUACCAAGGCGACGAUCUGUAGCGGGUCUGAGAGGAUGAUCCGCCACACUGGAACUGAGACACGGUCCAGACUCCUACGGGAGGCAGCAGUGGGGAAUUUUGGACAAUGGGGGCAACCCUGAUCCAGCCAUGCCGCGUGAGUGAAGAAGGCCUUCGGGUUGUAAAGGACUCUUUCGCCGGGAAGAAAUCGCAUGGGUUAAUACCCUGUGCGGAUGACGGUACCGGCAUAAGAAGACACCGGCGUAACUACGUAGCCACG
Molecule: ribosomal RNA, 491 nt
Filed under: uncultured bacterium
Lineage: Bacteria
Description: bacterial SSU rRNA
Rfam family: Bacterial small subunit ribosomal RNA
Source: RNAcentral